Molecule: long non-coding RNA, 164 nt
Organism: Melanotaenia boesemani (Boeseman's rainbowfish)
Lineage: Eukaryota; Metazoa; Chordata; Actinopteri; Atheriniformes; Melanotaeniidae
Exons: 3
Source: RefSeq, a predicted model, not a curated record
GGCUGUGCAGCAGGACUGGAUGUGAUGAUGGAUCACUCUUUUCUCUGUGUGCUGGGGUUAUUCUGAAUUUGUCAGAAGUGUGAGGAUUAGUUGAGAGGAUGGGACUCAUUUUAUUCUGUGUGCUGGAUUUAUUCUGGCUGUAUACACUCCUCUGCACUGGACAC